RNAcentral lists this long non-coding RNA (246 nucleotides) under Setaria italica (foxtail millet). RNAcentral describes it as "long non-coding RNA (SITA_LNC006635)". The record is from RNAcentral. Lineage: Eukaryota; Viridiplantae; Streptophyta; Magnoliopsida; Poales; Poaceae.
AUGCUAGUAGCCCCGACCCGAAUGAUGCUGCUCGUCAGCCAUCAGCUCAUCGCGCGGCACGAACGGGGAGUGAGUGGACACACAGCUACUGCGCUGAGCGCGACGGCUCCAUCGGGGGCACGAUGGACGCGGCGUGCAUGCGCGCUAGCUAAUAAUCGAUGUCGAUCGGUCUGCUCGACCUUGGAGAUCGGUGGUGGCGGUCGUAGACGGGCUCCUGUCGUCGAUCGAGGACGUGAUGCGCCCAGG